UACUAGAGUAGCACUCGCAUAUCAAUAAGCGGAGGAAAAGAAACUAACAAGGAUUCCCCUAGUAACGGCGAGUGAAGCGGGAAGAGCUCAAAUUUGAAAUCUUAAAGGGUUUCCCUUUACGAAUUGUAGUUUAAAGAAGUGUUUUCUGUUGAGGUUUUGGUAAAAGUUCUUUGGAAUAGGACAUCAUAGAGGGUGAGAAUCCCGUAUUUGACCUUUACUUUCAACUUUGUGAUACACUUUCAAAGAGUCGGAUUGUUUGGGAAUGCAGUCCAAAAUGGGUGGUAAAUUUCAUCUAAAGCUAAAUAUUGGCGAGAGACCGAUAGCGAACAAGUACCGUGAGGGAAAGAUGAAAAGAACUUUGAAAAGAGAGUUAAACAGUACGUGAAAUUGUCAAAAGGGAAGCGUUUGACACCAGUGUUGUUUUUCUGAAAAUCAAUUAAAGAACUGUUUAUGCUAAGUUGUUUAGACUUUAUCAGCUAACUGUUUAGUUUUGAGCUUUUCUUUAAUGCACUUUUCAGUUAACAAGUCAACAUCAAUUUCUUUUGCUGUAAAAAAGCUUGAGGAAGGUGGCUUGAGAUUCGUCUUAAGUGUUUAUAGCCUCUUGCCUAUGCAGUCGGAGAGAUUGAGGUUUGCAGCGUAGAUCCUUCGGGGCUAAAUGCAUUUGUGCUAAGUUAUAGCAUUUUAUAGGACAACUUGUUGACUAUGAUUUGUCUUGUAGCUUACUCGCUUAUGUUAUUUUACCUACGCUUAGGAUGUUGAUCUCUCACAGUCGAGC
RNAcentral lists this ribosomal RNA (775 nucleotides) under uncultured Neocallimastigales. RNAcentral describes it as "partial large subunit ribosomal RNA". It matches the Rfam family "Eukaryotic large subunit ribosomal RNA", at positions 20 to 645 of the family's 3401-position model. Lineage: Eukaryota; Fungi; Neocallimastigomycota; Neocallimastigomycetes; Neocallimastigales. The record is from RNAcentral.